RNAcentral lists this ribosomal RNA (446 nucleotides) under uncultured bacterium. RNAcentral describes it as "partial 16S ribosomal RNA". It matches the Rfam family "Bacterial small subunit ribosomal RNA", at positions 338 to 795 of the family's 1533-position model. The record is from RNAcentral.
CCUACGGGUGACAGCAGUCGAGAAUCAUUCACAAUGGGGGAAACCCUGAUGGUGCGACGCCGCGUGGGGGAAUGAAGGUCUUCGGAUUGUAAACCCCUGUCAUGUGGGAGCAAAUUAAAAAGAUAGUACCACAAGAGGAAGAGACGGCUAACUCUGUGCCAGCAGCCGCGGUAAUAAAGAGGUCUCAAGCGUUGUUCGGAAUCACUGGGCGUAAGGCGUGCGUAGGCUGUUUCGUAAGUCGUGGGUGAAAGGCGCGGGCUCAACCCGCGGACGGCACAUGAUACUGCGAGACUAGAGUAAUGGAGGGGGAACCGGAAGUCUCGGUGUAGCAGUGAAGUGCGUAGAUAUCGAGAGGAACAAUCGUGGCGAAGGCGGGUUCCUGGACAUUAACUGACGCUGAGGCACGAAGGCCAGGGGAGCGAAAGGGAUUAGAUACCCGGGUAGUC